RNAcentral lists this ribosomal RNA (253 nucleotides) under uncultured bacterium. Its description in RNAcentral is "partial 16S ribosomal RNA". It matches the Rfam family "Bacterial small subunit ribosomal RNA", at positions 524 to 776 of the family's 1533-position model. The record is from RNAcentral.
UACAGAGGUCUCAAGCGUUGUUCGGAUUCAUUGGGCGUAAAGGGUGCGUAGGCGGCGCGGUAAGUCGGGUGUGAAAUCUCGGGGCUUAACUCCGAAACUGCAUUCGAUACUGCCGUGCUUGAGGACUGGAGAGGAGACUGGAAUUUACGGUGUAGCGGUGAAAUGCGUAGAUAUCGUAAGGAAGACCAGCGGCGAAGGCGGGUCUCUGGACAGUUCCUGACGCUGAGGCACGAAGGUCAGGGGAGCAAACGGG